CAGUCGCCACGGGAAUACGUAGGGUGCAAGCGUUAAUCGGAAUUACUGGGCGUAAAGCGUGCGCAGGCGGUUAUAUAAGACAGAUGUGAAAUCCCCGGGCUCAACCUGGGAACUGCAUUUGUGACUGUAUAGCUAGAGUACGGCAGAGGGGGAUGGAAUUCCGCGUGUAGCAGUGAAAUGCGUAGAUAUGCGGAGGAACACCGAUGGCGAAGGCAAUCCCCUGGGCCUGUACUGACGCUCAUGCACGAAAGCGUGGGGAGCAAACAGGAUUAGAUACCCCCGUAGUCCCUGUCUCUUUACA
RNAcentral lists this ribosomal RNA (301 nucleotides) under uncultured bacterium. RNAcentral describes it as "partial 16S ribosomal RNA". It matches the Rfam family "Bacterial small subunit ribosomal RNA", at positions 509 to 808 of the family's 1533-position model. The record is from RNAcentral.